AUUGAACGCUGGCGGCAGGCUUAACACAUGCAAGUCGAGCGGAGAUGAGGUGCUUGCACCUUAUCUUAGCGGCGGACGGGUGAGUAAUGCUUAGGAAUCUGCCUAUUAGUGGGGGACAACAUUCCGAAAGGAAUGCUAAUACCGCAUACGUCCUACGGGAGAAAGCAGGGGAUCUUCGGACCUUGCGCGAAUAGAUGAGCCUAAGUCGGAUUAGCUAGUUGGUGGGGUAAAGGCCUACCAAGGCGACGAUCUGUAGCGGGUCUGAGAGGAUGAUCCGCCACACUGGGACUGAGAAACGGCCCAGACUCCUACGGGAGGCAGCAGUGGGGAAUAUUGGACGAUGGGGGGAACCCUGAUCCAGCCAUGCCGCGUGUGUGAAGAAGGCCUUAUGGUUGUAAAGCACUUUAAGCGAGGAGGAGGCUACUGAGACUAAUACUCUUGGAUAGUGGACGUUACUCGCAGAAUAAGCACCGGCUAACUCUGUGCCAGCCGCCGCUGUAA
Molecule: ribosomal RNA, 501 nt
Filed under: uncultured bacterium
Lineage: Bacteria
Description: partial 16S ribosomal RNA
Rfam family: Bacterial small subunit ribosomal RNA
Source: RNAcentral